This 493-nucleotide ribosomal RNA is filed under the name uncultured bacterium. RNAcentral's name for it is "partial 16S ribosomal RNA". It matches the Rfam family "Bacterial small subunit ribosomal RNA", at positions 29 to 523 of the family's 1533-position model. The record is from RNAcentral.
AUUGAACGCUGGCGGCAUGCUUCACACAUGCAAGUCGAACGGUAACAGGUUAAGCUGACGAGUGGCGAACGGGUGAGUAAUGCAUCGGAACGGGCCCGAUCGUGGGGGAUAACGUAGAGAAAGUUACGCUAAUACCGCAUACGAUCUGAGGAUGAAAGCGGGGGACCGUAAGGCCUCGCGCGAUCGGAGCGGCCGAUGUCAGAUUAGGUAGUUGGUGGGGUAAAGGCCCACCAAGCCGACGAUCUGUAGCUGGUCUGAGAGGACGACCAGCCACACUGGGACUGAGACACGGCCCAGACUCCUACGGGAGGCAGCAGUGGGGAAUUUUGGACAAUGGGCGCAAGCCUGAUCCAGCAAUGCCGCGUGCAGGAAGAAGGCCUUCGGGUUGUAAACUGCUUUUGUACGGAGCGAAAAGGCUCUCUCUAAUACAGGGGGCUCAUGACGGUACCGUAAGAAUAAGCACCGGCUAACUACGUGCCAGCAGCCGCCGUAA